This 418-nucleotide unclassified non-coding RNA is filed under the name Hevea brasiliensis (rubber tree). Lineage: Eukaryota; Viridiplantae; Streptophyta; Magnoliopsida; Malpighiales; Euphorbiaceae. The record is from RNAcentral.
CUGCGACUUGAGGAACUUUUGAGGUAAAUAAAAAAGGGAUUAGUGCCAGUAGAAUGCUGAAAAAUUAUUACAAGAAAUACAAUUUUGCAAUUGCAUUUAUCAAAUAUUGGAUACACUUCAUUUAUGACUAAUGCAUAUAUUCGAUGUACUUGCAAGCUCCUUAGAGGAUUGAAGUUUCAUUGGUUCAGAAACUCAAGGUCAAAUUGCAAUUUUAAUUGUUAAAGAAAAUGUAAUUAUAGUGACUGUCUUUAUGGAAUGAAAAUUUGGGAAAACUUUAACCAAACAUGAUGAAUGAAUAUGGAACUUUCUCUUAUUAUGUUUAAUACUGGAUUAGGAUUUAGGAAUCAUUGUCAUUGAGUUUUGUGCCCAUAUAAGAAUUUUUGAAGUUCAAACUUUAAACAAGUGUGGUUCAAUUCAC